CAGUAGCCACGGUAAUACAGAGGGUGCGAGCGUUGCUCGGAAUGACUGGGCGUAAAGGGCGCGUAGGCGGCGAUCAAAGUCAGGCGUGAAAUUCCUGGGCUCAACCUGGGGGCUGCGCUUGAUACUUGGUUGCUUGAGUGGGGAAGAGGGUCGUGGAAUUCCCAGUGUAGAGGUGAAAUUCGUAGAUAUUGGGAAGAACACCGGUGGCGAAGGCGGCGACCUGGUCCUUGACUGACGCUGAGGCGCGAAAGCGUGGGGAGCAAACAGGAUUAGAUACCCCCGUAGUCCCUGUCUCUUAUAC
RNAcentral lists this ribosomal RNA (301 nucleotides) under uncultured bacterium. Its description in RNAcentral is "partial 16S ribosomal RNA". It matches the Rfam family "Bacterial small subunit ribosomal RNA", at positions 509 to 807 of the family's 1533-position model. The record is from RNAcentral.